This 609-nucleotide ribosomal RNA is filed under the name Triticum aestivum (bread wheat). RNAcentral's name for it is "partial small subunit ribosomal RNA". Lineage: Eukaryota; Viridiplantae; Streptophyta; Magnoliopsida; Poales; Poaceae. The record is from RNAcentral.
AUGAAGAGUGGUCAUGGAUCCAACACCAUUAUAUCUUCAUUACGACUUCAUGAAGAUGCUAAUGUUAUCCAACAUGUAGUCAAAAUAUGUGGCAUCACAUCAUCUAAAGAUGCAGAAAUUGCCGUGGAGGCAGGAGCUAAACUUAUUGGCAUGAUACUUUGGCCUAACUCCAAGCGCUCUAUCGCAUUAUCAGAAGCCAAAGAAAUAUCUAGAGUAGCAGGAUCUUAUGGGGCUAAAUCAGUUGGUGUAUUUGUGGAUGAUGACAAAGAAACAAUAUUAAGAGUGUCUGAUUCAUGUGACCUUAAUUUAGUCUAGCUCCAUGGAGAUAAAUCCCGCACAUUGCUUCAUCUGCUUUCAAAGAAUAAUCGUAUUGUUUAUAUCCUAAAUGUUGAUGAUGAUGGAAAACUUAUUAAUGCUCCUCCUGGUGAAGAAUAUCUGUUUGGUUGGUUCUUAGUGGACAGUGCUAAGGGGGAAGGUGGCAAGGGAUUUAACUGGCAGAAAUUUCGCAUGCCCUCUAAUAGAAGCAAGAAUGGCUGGCUAUUGGCUGGAGGCCUUCACGCAGAUAAAGUUUGUGCAUCAAUGACUGCCCUGAAGCCAAAUCCUCUAUAA